AGUUCGAUUCUGGCUCAGAUUGGAACGCUGGCGGGAUGCUUACACAUGCAAGUCGAACGGCAGCACGGACUUCGGUCUGGUGGCGAGUGGGGCGAACGGGUGAGUAAUGUAUCGGAACGUGCCUAGUAGCGGGGAUAAUUGCUGCGCUGAAAGCGCUAAUACCGCAUACGCCCUUCGGGGGAAAGCGGGGGACCUUCGGGCCUCGCACUAUUAGAGCGGCCGAUAUCGGAUUAGCUAAGUUGGUGGGGUAACGGCUCACCAAGGCGACGAUCCGGGCUGGUUUGAGAGACGACCAGCCACACUGGGACUGAGACACGGCCCAGACUCCUACGGGAGGCAGCAGUGGGAAUUCUGGAUAAUGGGAAACCUCCUGAUCCAGCCAUCCGGCGUGUGCGAUGAAGGCCUUCGGGUUGUAAAGCACUUUGGCAGGAAAGAAACGGCACGGGAUAAUACCCCGUGCAACUGACGGUACCUGUGCAGAAGCACUGGCUAACUACGCCAGCAGGCGGUAAUACGUAGGUGCAAGCGCGAAUCGGAAUUACUGGGCGUAAAAGCGUGCGCAGCAGGCGGUUCGGAAAGAAAGAUGGGAAAUCCCAGACGAAUUUGGAACUGUAUUUUUAACUACCGAGCGAGCAACAGAGGGAGGGAAUUCGCGUGUAGCAGGAAACGCGUAGAUAUGCGGAGGAACACCAGCUGGCGAAGGCAGCCUCCCUGGGAUAACACUGACGCUCAUGCACGAAAGCGUGGGGAGCAAACAGGAUUAGAUACUCCUGUAGUCCACGCCCUAAACGAUGUCAACUUAGCCGUUGGGGCUCCCGGGCCUUUGGUAGCGCAGCUAACGCGUGAAGUUGACCGCCUGGGGAGUACGGUCGCAAGAUUAAAAACUCAAAGGAAUUGACGGGGAUCGCACAAGCGGUGGACAUGGAUUUAAUUUGAUGCAAUGCGAAAAACCUUACCUACCUUUUUGACAUGUCUGGAAUCCCGAAGAGAUCGGGAGUGCUCGCAAGAGAACCGGAACACAGGUGCUGCAUGGCUAGUCGUCAGCUCGUGUCGUGAGAUGUUGGGUUAAGUCCCGCAACGAGCGCAACCCUUGUCAUUAGUUGCUACGAAAGGGCAUCGAAUGAGACCGCUGGCGACAAACCGGAGGAAGGUGGGGAUGACGUCAAGUCCUCAUGGCCCUUAUGGCAGGGCUUCACACGUCAUACAAUGGUCGGGACAGAGGGUCGCCAACCCGCGAGGGGAGCCAAUCCUAGAAACCCGAUCGUAGUCCGGAUCGCAGUCUGCAACUCGACUGCGUGAAGUCGGAACCAGUAAUCGCGGAUCAGCAUGUCGCGGUGAAUACGUCUCUGGCCCCAGCUACACCGCCCGUCACACCAUGGGAGUGGGUUUUACCAGAAGUAGCGGCUAGUCAACCGGGUAAGGAGGGCGAUUACCACGGUAGGAUUCAUGACUGGGGUGAAGUCGUAACAAGGUAA
Molecule: ribosomal RNA, 1475 nt
Filed under: uncultured Bordetella sp.
Lineage: Bacteria; Pseudomonadati; Pseudomonadota; Betaproteobacteria; Burkholderiales; Alcaligenaceae
Description: partial 16S-23S ribosomal RNA intergenic spacer
Rfam family: Bacterial small subunit ribosomal RNA
Source: RNAcentral